GGGCGGUUAGCUCAGUUGGUUAGAGCGUUGCAGUGACAUUGCAAAGGUCACAGGUUCGAAUCCUGUACCGCCCACCA
RNAcentral lists this transfer RNA (77 nucleotides) under bacterium. RNAcentral describes it as "tRNA-Val". It matches the Rfam family "tRNA". From Rfam's summary of the family: Transfer RNA (tRNA) molecules are approximately 80 nucleotides in length. Their secondary structure includes four short double-helical elements and three loops (D, anti-codon, and T loops). Further hydrogen bonds mediate the characteristic L-shaped molecular structure. tRNAs have two regions of fundamental functional importance: the anti-codon, which is responsible for specific mRNA codon recognition, and the 3' end, to which the tRNAs corresponding amino acid is attached (by aminoacyl-tRNA synthetases). tRNAs cope with the degeneracy of the genetic code in two manners: having more than one tRNA (with a specific anti-codon) for a particular amino acid; and 'wobble' base-pairing, i.e. permitting non-standard base-pairing at the 3rd anti-codon position. The record is from RNAcentral.